RNAcentral lists this ribosomal RNA (253 nucleotides) under uncultured microorganism. RNAcentral describes it as "partial 16S ribosomal RNA". It matches the Rfam family "Bacterial small subunit ribosomal RNA", at positions 524 to 776 of the family's 1533-position model. The record is from RNAcentral.
UACGGAGGGUGCGAGCGUUAUUCGGAAUCACUGGGCUUAAAGGUCGCGUAGGCGGUGCGGUAAGUCAGGGGUUAAAGGCUGCAGCUCAACUGCAGUAAGGCCUUUGAUACUAUCGUGCUAGAGUGUCAGAGAGGAUGGCGGAAUUCCCGGUGUAGCGGUGAAAUGCGUAGAUAUCGGGAGGAAGGCCGGUGGCGAAGGCGGCCUCCUGGGCCUGCACUGACGCUGAGGCGCGAAAGCGUGGGGAGCAAACAGG